AUGGCCCUCGCCACCCUCCUCUUCCUCCUCCUCUCCCCCUCCACCACCACCACCACCCCGUCCACCAGCGUGGCGCACCUGGCGGCGGUGGGGCUGGCGUCGCGGCAGUACCAGUCGGGCGGCGGGGGACGGAUGGCGUUCGAGGAGUCCGGCACCGGCGGGCGCCACGGCCGCGUGCCGCUGGGGCUGAAGCGCAAGGGCCUGCGGGUGGUGGUGACCGGCGGGGCCGGGUUCGUGGGCAGCCACCUGGUGGACCGGCUGCUGGCGCGCGGGGACAGCGUGAUCGUGGUCGACAACUUCUUCACGGGGCGCAAGGAGAACGUGGCGCACCACGCCGGGAACCCCAACUUCGAGAUGAUCCGGCACGACGUCGUCGAGCCGAUCCUGCUGGAGGUGGACCAGAUCUACCACCUCGCCUGCCCGGCCUCCCCCGUGCACUACAAGUUCAACCCCGUCAAGACCAUCAAGACCAACGUGGUGGGCACGCUCAACAUGCUCGGCCUCGCCAAGCGCGUCGGCGCGCGCUUCCUCCUCACCAGCACCAGCGAGGUCUACGGCGACCCCCUCCAGCACCCCCAGGUCGAGACCUACUGGGGCAACGUCAACCCCAUCGGCGUGCGGAGUUGCUACGACGAGGGCAAGAGGACGGCGGAGACGCUGACCAUGGACUACCACCGCGGCGCCAACCUCGAGGUGAGGAUCGCUCGGAUCUUCAACACCUACGGGCCGCGCAUGUGCAUCGACGAUGGCCGGGUCGUCAGCAACUUCGUCGCUCAGGCGCUGAGGAAGGAGCCCCUGACGGUGUACGGCGACGGCAAGCAGACGAGGAGCUUCCAGUACGUCUCCGAUCUGGUGGAGGGUCUGAUGAAGCUGAUGGAGGGGGAGCACGUGGGGCCCUUCAACCUGGGGAACCCGGGGGAGUUCACCAUGCUGGAGCUGGCCAAGGUGGUGCAGGACACCAUCGACCCCAACGCGCGCAUCGAGUUCCGGGCAAACACCGCCGACGACCCGCACAAGCGCAAGCCCGACAUCACCAAGGCCAAGGAGCUGCUCGGGUGGGAGCCCAAGGUGGCGCUCCGGAACGGCCUCCCGCUCAUGGUCCAGGACUUCCGCGCCCGCAUCUUCGGCGACCAGAAGCAGCAGCAGCAACCCGACGGCGCCGAGUAG
Molecule: ribosomal RNA, 1167 nt
Filed under: Triticum aestivum (bread wheat)
Lineage: Eukaryota; Viridiplantae; Streptophyta; Magnoliopsida; Poales; Poaceae
Description: partial small subunit ribosomal RNA
Source: RNAcentral